CCAACUUUGUGUAUAAGAAAUAUCUUGACGUUCGUUCUUUGGGUUAUGCAGUUCUUUAGUGACUAUGAUUCUCUAUUAAGGAUUAUUAAAUGUUUAUGUUGUAGUAUUGUAAGUACUUUUACGCUUAACAUAAGCAUGUUAUUAUUUUUUAAAACAUAAUACAAGCUGUUUACGAUCUUAAAAUACAUAAAUCCAUGCUUUUUUU
This 205-nucleotide long non-coding RNA is filed under the name Brassica napus (rape). RNAcentral's name for it is "long non-coding RNA (BNAP_LNC014594)". Lineage: Eukaryota; Viridiplantae; Streptophyta; Magnoliopsida; Brassicales; Brassicaceae. The record is from RNAcentral.